This 1186-nucleotide long non-coding RNA is filed under the name Coturnix japonica (Japanese quail). RNAcentral describes it as "lncRNA (ENSCJPG00005002356.1)". The record is from RNAcentral. Lineage: Eukaryota; Metazoa; Chordata; Aves; Galliformes; Phasianidae.
AUGGACCGGCGGCUGUUGGCAGCGGGAUGCGGACGGGCACGGAGCCCGUUCAGCACCACGGCGGUGGACAGCUCCGCAACGGGCACGUGGCACCGCGCCGCGAACCGAACGGACCGGUACCGGAUCCCGGGUUCCGGGUCGACCCUGCGGGCACCUUGUCCGCCACCGACCUUCCGGUUUCGGUCCCUCGGAGCGGUGCCAGCCCCGACCCGGCGGAGCGAGGCCGGUCCCAGAGCCGCCGUCCCCCGGGGAGCAGAGCGGCGCCGCGCCCGAACCGGUACCGAGCUCCGGUUCCCGGUGCCCUCAUUGCGUUUUUCCAUCGUUCUCCUCCUUCCCCGCUCUCUACAAAACGCCGUUUGUUUCCUCCACGUUGAUCCGGGCAGCAUCACGAACAACCUCAGCUCUGCGCUUCCACAGCAGCUCCCGACCGAAGGGCUCCAUCCAUCCAUCCAUCCAACCGGCCGCAGCUCCGACCCGGUGCCGUUCAGCCCCUCCGCAUCCCCCCCAUCCCCGCCGCUCCCUCUGGCAGAGCUGCGGGCUGCCCCGCUCCUCACCCGGCUCCUCCAGCUCGGUAAAACCGGGGCCGGUUCUGCAGCCUUUUUUUUCUCUCUUUCUUUUUCCUUUUUCUCUCUUUAUUUUUUUUUUUUUUUUUUUCCUCUUUGUGUUCGUUUCUUAUUUUUUUUUUUUUCCAUUUCAUGAAUUUUUUGUUCUCUUUUUUUUUUCCCCUGUUUUUGUUUCUAAGAGAUCUUAAGCAGGUAAAAAAAACGUCAUGACACCACUCAACGCCCUAAGAGAGAAAACUCCGGGCACCGAGGGGUUGAAAGAGGGGAAGGAAAGGAGGGGGGGGCGGGAUCGGGGCCGGGCCGGACCCCCCCAAAGCAAAGUGCAUCUGUGAGCGUCCGCCGGGCCGGGCCUGCUUGCAUAGAUAGAAAUAUUGGAAUCUCCGUUUCGCCUCUUUAUUGCUUCGGAAAGUUUCGUUCCGCGCCGUAACGCGUUUCUCCUCUCGCUCCCACGGGGGUGUCCAACGCUCGGGGGGGCUCACGGCGGCGGAGGUGGGUUGGGAGGGGGGGGGGGAAACGGCCCAAAACGGUGAGGGGUGGAGAAAUAGGGAGGAGGGGAUGCGGUGAUGGUUGGAGGGGGGUGAAAUAAGAAACGAAAUAAAUAAGAAACGACGCGGUUUGAACCA